Molecule: ribosomal RNA, 305 nt
Filed under: Bacillus sp. SjAM16101
Lineage: Bacteria; Bacillati; Bacillota; Bacilli; Caryophanales; Bacillaceae
Description: bacterial SSU rRNA
Rfam family: Bacterial small subunit ribosomal RNA
Source: RNAcentral
GCUACAAUGCAGUCGAGCGCAGAAGCUCCAGCUUGCUCCCUGAGAUGAGUGGCGAACGGGUGAGUAUACGUGAGUACCUGCCCUUGACUCUGGGAUAAGUCUGGGAACCGGGUCUAAUACUGGAUACGACGUCCUACCGCAUGGUGAACUGUUGGAAAGGGUUUUACUGGCUACCACUUACAGAUGGACCCGCGGCGCAUUAGCUAGUUGGUGAGGUAACGGCUCACCAAGGCGACGAUGCGUAGCCAACCUGAGAGGGUGAUCGGCCACACUGGGACUGAGACACGGCCCAGACUCCUACGGGA